CGCUUGCUCGCCGUGAAAAUCUUUCAUGCGUGGGUGUCGGCUCUGCGGCGCUGGACGCAUCGUCACGCGUAUGCCUUUAUCAUCAAAGGUUUCCGCGCAAGGCCCACUAGCAGCCUCUCUCUUCCCUUCUCCUUCUUUCUCCACUGCUGACAUUACACGUUGCACCAGUGUCAUCAUCCGCGUGGCCUAGGCGUCUGUUUCUGCCCCCCCCCUAUAGUUUACCUGUUGAUUACCGCCGCGACUUGUGUAGUUCGACGCCCCCCCCCCCGCCCCAUGCGAUCAUUUCUUGUGGCCCGCGCCCUCGGCGCGGCAUCGAAGAGGCGCUACCCUCUCUUCCCCGCCGCGCUGCGCUGCCAGUCCACGGCCUCCUCUCCGCUUUCCUGUGCUUCUACUGCUGCAAAGACAUCGGCUGCUGCCACCACAGUACCGCAGACAGAAACACCACAAGGCAUCCGCCUUUCCCGCGAGAUGGGCCUCAGUGAAGGUUUCGAGGGCAUCGGCGUCUAUGCGGGCUCCAUCUCUGCCUUUAUGAAGCCGGCCCACGAAAAAGCAGAUGCCACUUUCGGCACCGACGGCGACGGUGUGCUACCAUGCGAGCAGCCCGGCAGCCAGGCCGCUAUCCAGGCUGCUCAAGCGGAGUGCAUGGCUUCGGUGGCCAUGACCGGCAAGCUUCCCUCUCCCUCGCGCGCUGGUGCCGAAGCGCAUCGCCAGGCUCAUGGGCAGGCUUCCCAUACCUCAUCCUUGCCACGCCGCGCCCCACCAGCAGCGCUGAAUGUGACGCCGCGCAAGCCCCCGAUGAGUCUCGCGGCGGACCCUAAGUCGUUGAGCUCUCCACCCUCUGCAUCUGCUGCGAGGCCGACGGCGGCAUCAGCAGCGGCGAUCGGGGUAACGGCACGACCGGCCACUUCUCUCUCGUCCUCCCCACGCCCGCAGAGUGACAACGCGAAGGGUGCCAGCCGCGUCACGGCGGAUGGUUCCCGCGUUAUGCGCAACAAGGAGGCUACAGACUACUACCGCGCCCUCCCACAGAACGAGCUAAGCAAGGAGGAUAUGUGGCGCCGCAUCAACGAGGCGAGCGCCGAUCGCGCCGAGGCCACCGGUACCGCCAUCGGUUCCGCUGAGGUGGAUUACAUAAAACUGGAAGAUGAGCUGCGUGACUUCGACCUCUUUCACUACCGCAUUGGCGAAAUGGCCUACCCUGACCAAGCGAUGCGGCGCGACUACUACGCCUUGUGGAACUUGGCGAUGUCGCUGAAUAAGGCUCGGUGGUCUAUGCUCGAGGUGCACUCGCAACGCGGAAUGAAGACGACCGGCGCUGGUAUGAAGCUGAUCUUCUGGAAAGAGUCCGUCGGCGCAAUCAUGGAAAAGCGGAAGAUGUGCACGGGGCAGUUCACCGACUCCCACCCCGUCUUGCGCCCCUUCGCUGCCGCGGUGGAGCGCAACCCGCAUAUGACGAAGGCUUUUGUGCGCGGCUUCACUGAUGCCCGCCUGCGCGUCAUUCAGCAACCCGGAAACGUGCAGCAGCUCUUCGACCACUUCGACAAGUUCUACGGCUACUUCUUCAACUCCUUGCUGGAGGUGACGCACAUAAAAGACGAGGCGACGGAGCACCUCAUGACCCACGUUGGCCGUGCAACCGGGCUGACAAACCACUGCGUGAUGUUCUGGAAGAAGUACGCGCGCCUCGGCUUCACGAUGCUGCCGGCCGACCUCUGCGCCGACAAUCACGUGAACCUCGGACUGCUCAAGAACAUUCCUCUGGCGUCUCGUGAUCGCGCCGUGCGCAAGGUCCUUUUCGACGUCAUGUGCAUUGUCAAGGACGAGAUGCUGCACGCGCAAAAAUGCGCUAAAGAUGUUCCACCCAAGACGUGGCCGAUAGUCAUGGAGUGCCUCUAUGCAAACUACUAUCUCGGCUUCCUGCAGCGGCGCGACUUCAACGUGAGUGCCAUGUUUGCGGACCACAACAUCGAGAACGCCGGCUUCACGUGGUAUCGCCUGAAGAAGCGAUGGGAGUGGGAGCGGUACCAGAGCAUCGAGCGUCUCGUCGAUGAGGCGGCACCGCUGCCGUACAUCAAUACUUCCUUCGCGCACCGCGGCUCGCACUACAAGAUGGCGAGCGGUGUCGGCUCAGGCGCUCCCCAGGCACAGCGGAACAGGAGCUGAGGCAGGGCAUGUGCAUGCAGAGCGGUAUAUAGAUAGUCUCCGCAGUGCUGUUCGCGCGUGUAAUGCGCAUCAGGGAAGGGAAGCUGGUGCUGAUGGGCAGGCGACUAAAGUGAUGUGACAGAUCCCUCCAUCCUCCUCGCCCAUCUCACCUUGAAGGGGAUACGCUUUCGAUGAUCUUGAUGAGUCGGUAACUGGGGAGUGGAGGGGUGUACGUCGACGAAGCGUGAUGAUCACAAGCAUGCCACCAUCCUUUUUCGUUCUCCCCCUUGCUCCUGCGAGCGUGACUGUGUAUUGUCAGGCAGCCUUGAAAUACAAG
RNAcentral lists this unclassified non-coding RNA (2479 nucleotides) under Leishmania donovani. RNAcentral's name for it is "gene:LdHU3.36.5010(CDS-product:phytoene_synthase_ putative)". Lineage: Eukaryota; Euglenozoa; Kinetoplastea; Trypanosomatida; Trypanosomatidae. The record is from RNAcentral.